UACCUAUGUUGCAUAGAAAGUUUGAGCUGAUUACAAUCAUACUGUGACUUUUAAAAUUUUAUUACUAGGUAUACAUUGCCAUCGUUACUAUUAUGAUUACAUAUACAUAUUACCCAAAGCCUGUUAGCCUAGUUUGCUAUAUAUUAGCAUCAAUAUAUACACAUACAUGUAUUAAUGUGUGGCACUGCAUAUUCAACCAUUGUUCCUUUUGUUAAAAAGGCAGGAUAUGAAAAAUGCAUCAAACACUUUUUCUACCUAAGCCAAUGUUGUCAUAACUUAUUGUUACUUGUAUAGGAGCACGUACGUUUCAAGUCAGGAUUCAGAGGAGAGAAGCAAAUGGACUACCAGUUUGCGUAAAGGCUUAGGAUUUGCUGGACUGCGGUGCAAUGCCAAUAAUACACAAUUGGGAUCAUAUUUAAUGAAAAAACUGGAAAUUUCAUAUAGAAAUGGGGAUAUUAAGAAAAAGAAAAUGGUUGCUGUUGUAGGGAGGCAAAAUGGAACAGAUGAGAUAUGGGUCAUGAAUAGGCAAAUUCAUUUAGAUAACAAAGGAGUUCAGGUAGACCCAUCUGAAAGCCCUUAUACUUGGAACGAUGAGCUAGAUGACAUGGCUCCUGAAUUAACAGCUGUCAGGAAGAAUAAAAGUUCUGUAAGAGCACUAAUAAAAGCAGUUCACAAGUCAUAUGGUGCAAACACUCCUGCUGUUUUGCUGACGAUUGGUGCAGAAAUAAUCUGUUUUCAUUAUGAUAUUCUGAAUGAUAAGGCGUAUUCAGUACCAGCAAGCAUUCUGACUGGAGCAGUCAGCAUUGGAAAAAGCACUGCAUCACGUAUUGCUUUAGCUUGUGCCGGAGCACAAAAGUCGUUUAUAACAUCAGCCACAGACUCCAAGAUAAAGAGCGUCACUAGUAAAAGUACUCUUGGAAUUGCACUUGAUGAUCCUAAGGAUGCACAGGAUAUAGCUGAGAAGGUGAUGCAUCACUUUGACAAGGGGAAAAGUUGUUCUCAGACUCGUACUUGUAUUCCUCGCUGCACUUUCAUGGCAUCUGUUAACAGUGAAUUUUUGAAGAAAUUUUCUGAACUUCAUCCAAAGUACAUCUCCAGAGUUUGCUUAAUUCCAUUUGGGAAAGACACCCAUAAUCUUAGCCCAGCAGAAAGAUUUGAAGCUGAUAGAGAAUUAGCAAAUGCAAUGAAUGUGUCCGAUUCGUCUUUGCCUAUUAUUAUCAAACUGCAAUCUCAAUUUGACAAGGUACAUGAAUUGAAGGAAGUUAUUGAGAAAGUUUCCAGUUUUCUACCCAAGGAAACAACUCAGAGGCUUCAGUUUUCCUACUCUCUUUUAUUGUUUACGACAUUGAAGUUUUUAGAAAAGCUUAAAGUUAAGGAGCAAUAUGAACAACAACUGUGGUCUUUCUUUCAAGAACAAAUGAUUCCAGUUGUAACACAAUACCAACUAAAGAGUGAGGCUACUAAGCCUGGUAUGCAGAUCAGUAUGUCUUUCAGCAAAGAAGCAUUUGAGCAGUUGCUACUUCAAGUGAUUGAUGAUGACACAGGAGAUAUGAUUAUAAAGUCCUUUCUCAGAAUAGAAUAUAAUUGUAACAAACCUUCAGCAAUAUCUGUAUUGAUGCCACACUUGACACAUUUUCUGAAGAGGAAAAAAAUAUCCUAUGAUGAAAAAUUUCUUGCCAAAUUAUCCCUUUUAUACGAAGGACAAUGUAGAACGAGUAUACCUCGUACCUUUUUAAGCAUUGACUCCACAUUGACAGAUAUUCCUAAAGGAAUUAGUGGCCGUAAAGCUGAGGGAGCUGUAUACCUGAGAUGCAUUGAAAUUAAUGCCGAUGCUUUAUCAGAGAGAACACUGAACCAUCUUGAAGAAGCUUUCUUAGGAACUUCUAGUGCUCUAAAAGAGUCUCAAGAUAGUGUAAGAACUCCCACCAAGUGUGAAGAGACUCAUCCCUUACACACCUCAACUCCAAUUACAAAGGCUGAUUGUAUGUCAUUAUUACUUGUUCUGAUGUUUAUUACAACAUUUCAUUAGUAGACCAAGAUAGUUUGUCAAAUAGAUCUAGCUUAUCAUCAGUGGCAGAUGACCGUAAUAUCAGCGGUACAGUGGCAUUAGUAUCUGAAGAGUCUGCACAAGUGGAACAGGAGGAAACGGACUCCUUGAGAUAUGGUUGUGAUUUGCAAAGUAAGGCAGUUGAACUAAAAAUUAGUGUAUAAUUGAUAUUAUGGAUUUAUCAUAGAGUCUGGUGAUUCCACACUAGCUUUCAUUGAAGAUAACAAUAUAGGACAACAAAAUGAAUCCUUCAGUGGUUACCGUAGUGAAAGUACAAGGAGUAAAGAUGAGAAAUCUCAGGGAGGAGAAUGUAAGGAUGCUAUAGAUAGAGAUUUACAAGAAUGCAAUUGGAGUGUGUUAUAGUGGGUUUCAACUUUAGUGCAUGCAUGCUUUUCAUUCUUUUUUGUGCUUGUGUGAGAAACUCUUUUAAAGUUCACUUUAAAUUCUAGGUAAAAGAUCAAUGAGAUUAAGAACACAUAUUGUUGCUCUUUCUCCUAAACAGCCUGAACAGGAUCAUUCUGUAGCAGGUGCAUGUGAUACUAACAUUACAAUUUGUUAUAAUGUUUAAAUUUUUUCAGUUAAAAGAUCAUUUCGCUUGAAAACAAGAACCACCGAUGGAGCAGUACAAUUUUCUUGCAGCAAAAAAACCAAAUUACUCCAUGAAACUUAUUGCCAGCAUUGUGAAGAAAAGUUUAAGAAGGGAGAGAGGCAUCAGAUGGUUGGAUGUGAUCAGUGUACGAGGUGGUACCACAUGAAGUGUGUGAAGUGUGACGUAAACAAAUUUUGGAAAUGUGAAAAAUGUAAGAUAAAUUUAUCACAAAUUUUUAUAAUAAGUCUUUAACAUUGUAGGUUAAAUAACUGAUAAAGAAACUAGAAAGACAUUAGUACUCCUGUUACAUAACAUAGGUAGUAAAAAUUCUAUUGUUGGGUAUUAAAGUUAUUACAAAUGAUAAUUUAACAUUAAUUUUUCUGUAAUGGCUACAUUCAAGAACAAAAAUUUAAUCUUCAGAAUGUUUUGAUACUAUUUCAGAAACAGUACAUCAGUGCAACAAUGCUACAGUGCA
This 3111-nucleotide unclassified non-coding RNA is filed under the name Amphimedon queenslandica. RNAcentral's name for it is "uncharacterized LOC109583075, transcript variant X1". Lineage: Eukaryota; Metazoa; Porifera; Demospongiae; Haplosclerida; Niphatidae. The record is from RNAcentral.